Regulatory RNA element from Astyanax mexicanus (Mexican tetra), 114 nucleotides. It matches the Rfam family "Potassium channel RNA editing signal". From Rfam's summary of the family: This family represents a group of sequences related to the human potassium channel Kv1.1 hairpin element which directs the efficient modification of an adenosine to inosine by an adenosine deaminase acting on RNA (ADAR). The ADAR modification causes an isoleucine/valine recoding event which lies in the ion-conducting pore of the potassium channel. Lineage: Eukaryota; Metazoa; Chordata; Actinopteri; Characiformes; Acestrorhamphidae. The record is from Rfam.
GUGGGAUAUGGUGAUAUGAAGCCCAUCACGGUGGGUGGCAAGAUUGUGGGUUCGCUGUGCGCCAUCGCUGGAGUACUGACCAUCGCCCUGCCCGUACCCGUCAUUGUGUCCAAC